RNAcentral lists this transfer RNA (73 nucleotides) under Canis lupus familiaris (dog). It matches the Rfam family "tRNA". From Rfam's summary of the family: Transfer RNA (tRNA) molecules are approximately 80 nucleotides in length. Their secondary structure includes four short double-helical elements and three loops (D, anti-codon, and T loops). Lineage: Eukaryota; Metazoa; Chordata; Mammalia; Carnivora; Canidae. The record is from Rfam by way of RNAcentral. RNAcentral also lists the same sequence under 2 other names.
ACCUGGCUGACUCAGUUGGUAGAGUGAGUGGCUCUUGAUCUCGGGGUUGUGAGUUCAAGCCCCAUGUUGGGUG